UGUUGUUUAUAGGGUGAAAGUCUCAACUGUUGAGGAUCUAAAACGGCAAGUAGUGAAGACAGAAUUGGCUUCAUUAACUAUUCCAGAACUACAGUUUGAAAUACCUGCUCGUAGCCAAGAGGGAGUUGUGACAACAGUUGAAGGGCUCCUAAGCCGAGCAAUCAUGGGUCUCACUUCCCAAAAAGAGCACCUUCAGGAAGAAGACCCAGUGGCAUCCCAGAAGAUAUCAGAAUUUCUGAUUAAACUGUGUGAACUAACAGAAGUGAAAACAACUUAUCAUUUGGUAAAUCUUCAUGUUCACCAAGAUAGUAAUAU
Limulus polyphemus (Atlantic horseshoe crab) is the source of this 315-nucleotide long non-coding RNA. RefSeq lists it as uncharacterized. The record is from RefSeq and is a predicted model, not a curated record. Lineage: Eukaryota; Metazoa; Arthropoda; Merostomata; Xiphosura; Limulidae. The transcript is spliced from 4 exons.